UGCCAGCCGCCGCGGUAAUACGGAGGGUGCAAGCGUUGUUCGGAAUUACUGGGCGUAAAGGGCGCGCAGGCGGCCUGUUAAGUCAGAUGUGAAAGCCCACGGCUUAACCGUGGAAGUGCAUUUGAAACUGGCAGGCUUGAGUAUCAGAGGGGAAAGUGGAAUUCCUGGUGUAGAGGUGAAAUUCGUAGAUAUCAGGAGGAAUACCAGUGGCGAAGGCGACUUUCUGGCUGAAUACUGACGCUGAGGCGCGAAAGCGUGGGGAGCAAACAGGAUUAGAUA
RNAcentral lists this ribosomal RNA (279 nucleotides) under uncultured bacterium. RNAcentral's name for it is "partial 16S ribosomal RNA". It matches the Rfam family "Bacterial small subunit ribosomal RNA", at positions 506 to 784 of the family's 1533-position model. The record is from RNAcentral.